GGCAUAAUCCUUGGCGUCAUUGCGGCUGUCACAGGACGUGCAGUUACCCUGCAAGCACCACACCAACAGGUUCAGUGUGGCUGCACUGUAUAAUGGGACCCUGCUGAAGCUCCAUGUCCAAAUCAGAGCAAAUUGCUGAUGCUGAAGACUGUGAUGUCACAUCUUAAGUAAUAAAGCUCAAAAAAUUAUUUAGUAUG
Sturnus vulgaris (Common starling) is the source of this 197-nucleotide non-coding RNA. The record is from RefSeq and is a predicted model, not a curated record. Lineage: Eukaryota; Metazoa; Chordata; Aves; Passeriformes; Sturnidae.